RNAcentral lists this ribosomal RNA (253 nucleotides) under uncultured bacterium. Its description in RNAcentral is "partial 16S ribosomal RNA". It matches the Rfam family "Bacterial small subunit ribosomal RNA", at positions 524 to 777 of the family's 1533-position model. The record is from RNAcentral.
UACGUAAGGGGCAAGCGUUGUCCGGAAUUACUGGGCGUAAAGCGCACGUAGGCGGCUUUGUAAGUUAGAGGUGAAAGCCCGGGGCUCAACUCCGGAAUUGCCUUUAAGACUGCAUCGCUAGUAUUGUGAGAGGUAAGUGGAAUUCCGAGUGUAGAGGUGAAAUUCGUAGAUAUUCGGAAGAACACCAGUGGCGAAGGCGGCUCACUGGACUGGUAUUGACGCUGAGGUGCGAAAGCGUGGGGAGCAAACAGGG